Molecule: ribosomal RNA, 253 nt
Filed under: uncultured bacterium
Lineage: Bacteria
Description: partial 16S ribosomal RNA
Rfam family: Bacterial small subunit ribosomal RNA
Source: RNAcentral
UACGUAGGUGGCAAGCGUUGUCCGGAUUUAUUGGGUUUAAAGGGUGCGUAGGCGGCUUUGUAAGUCAGUGGUGAAAUGUGGCAGCUCAACUGUCAAGGUGCCAUUGAUACUGCAGAGCUUGAGUACAGAUGAGGUAGGCGGAAUUGACGGUGUAGCGGUGAAAUGCUUAGAUAUCGUCAAGAACACCUAUAGCGAAGGCAGCUUACUAGGCUGUAACUGACGCUGAGGCACGAAAGUGUGGGGAUCAAACAGG